RNAcentral lists this ribosomal RNA (451 nucleotides) under uncultured bacterium. RNAcentral describes it as "partial 16S ribosomal RNA". It matches the Rfam family "Bacterial small subunit ribosomal RNA", at positions 28 to 507 of the family's 1533-position model. The record is from RNAcentral.
GAUGAACGCUGGCGGCGUGCCUAACACAUGCAAGUCGAGCGGCAGCGAGGGGUGCUUGCACCCUGUCGGCGAGCGGCGGACGGCUGAGUAACGCGUGGGAACGUGCCCCAAAGUGAGGAAUAACUGCCCGAAAGGGUAGCUAAUACCGCAUAUUAUCUUCGGAUCAAAGGAUUUAUCCGCUUUGGGAGCGGCUCGCGUCGGAUUAGGUAGUUGGUGAGGUAAUGGCUCACCAAGCCGACGAUCCGUAGCUGGUCUGAGAGGAUGACCAGCCAGACUGGAACUGAGACACGGUCCAGACUCCUACGGGAGGCAGCAGUGAGGAAUCUUCCACAAUGGGCGAAAGCCUGAUGGAGCAACGCCGAGUGCAGGACGAAGGCCUUCGGGUUGUAAACUGCUUUUAUAAGUGAGGAAUAUGACGGUAACUUAUGAAUAAGGAUCGGCUAACUACGUG